RNAcentral lists this ribosomal RNA (273 nucleotides) under uncultured bacterium. RNAcentral's name for it is "partial 16S ribosomal RNA". It matches the Rfam family "Bacterial small subunit ribosomal RNA", at positions 524 to 796 of the family's 1533-position model. The record is from RNAcentral.
UACAGGGGGUGCGAGCGUUAAUCGGAAUUACUGGGCGUAAAGAGUACGUAGGCGGUUGCUUAAGUCAGAUGUGAAAGCCCCGGGCUCAACCUGGGAACUGCAUUUGAAACUGAGUGACUAGAGUUUAAGAGAGGGGAGUAGAAUUCCGGGUGUAGCGGUGAAAUGCGUAGAGAUCCGGAGGAAUACCAGUGGCGAAGGCGGCUCCCUGGCUUAAAACUGACGCUGAGGUACGAAAGCGUGGGUAGCAAACAGGAUUAGAAACCCUAGUAGUCC